This 524-nucleotide ribosomal RNA is filed under the name uncultured bacterium. Its description in RNAcentral is "partial 16S ribosomal RNA". It matches the Rfam family "Bacterial small subunit ribosomal RNA", at positions 28 to 523 of the family's 1533-position model. The record is from RNAcentral.
GACGAACGCUGGCGGCGUGCUUAACACAUGCAAGUCGAACGGACAGACAGAGAGCUUGCUCUCAUGAAGUUAGUGGCGAACGGGUGAGUAACGCGUAAUCAACCUGCCCUUCAGAGGGGGAUAACAACGGGAAACCGUUGCUAAUACCGCGUACGAUUCAUGAACGGCAUCGUUUAUGAAUGAAAGGUGGCCUCUAUGUAUAAGCUAUCGCUGAAGGAGGGGAUUGCGUCUGAUUAGCUAGGUGGAGGGGUAACGGCCCACCAAGGCAAUGAUCAGUAGCCGGUCUGAGAGGAUGAACGGCCACAUUGGGACUGAGACACGGCCCAAACUCCUACGGGAGGCAGCAGUGGGGAAUCUUCCGCAAUGGACGAAAGUCUGACGGAGCAACGCCGCGUGAGUGAUGAAGGUCUUCGGAUUGUAAAGCUCUGUUAAUCGGGACGAAAGAGUUCUGCGUGAAUAAUGCAGAAAAGUGACGGUACCGGAAUAGAAAGCCGCGGCUAACUACGUGCCAGCCGCCGCCGUAA